This 545-nucleotide ribosomal RNA is filed under the name uncultured Clostridium sp. RNAcentral's name for it is "bacterial SSU rRNA". It matches the Rfam family "Bacterial small subunit ribosomal RNA", at positions 100 to 665 of the family's 1533-position model. Lineage: Bacteria; Bacillati; Bacillota; Clostridia; Eubacteriales; Clostridiaceae. The record is from RNAcentral.
GACGGGUGAGUAACGCGUGGGUAACCUGCCCUGUACACACGGAUAACAUACCGAAAGGUAUGCUAAUACGAGAUAAUAUGCUUUUAUCGCAUGGUAGAAGUAUCAAAGCUUUUGCGGUACAGGAUGGACCCGCGUCUGAUUAGCUAGUUGGUAAGGUAACGGCUUACCAAGGCGACGAUCAGUAGCCGACCUGAGAGGGUGAUCGGCCACAUUGGAACUGAGACACGGUCCAAACUCCUACGGGAGGCAGCAGUGGGGAAUAUUGCACAAUGGGCGAAAGCCUGAUGCAGCAACGCCGCGUGAGCGAUGAAGGCCUUCGGGUCGUAAAGCUCUGUCCUCAAGGAAGAUAAUGACGGUACUUGAGGAGGAAGCCCCGGCUAACUACGUGCCAGCAGCCGCGGUAAUACGUAGGGGGCUAGCGUUAUCCGGAAUUACUGGGCGUAAAGGGUGCGUAGGUGGUUUCUUAAGUCAGAGGUGAAAGGCUACGGCUCAACCGUAGUAAGCCUUUGAAACUGGGAAACUUGAGUGCAGGAGAGGAGAGUGGA